This 301-nucleotide ribosomal RNA is filed under the name uncultured bacterium. RNAcentral's name for it is "partial 16S ribosomal RNA". It matches the Rfam family "Bacterial small subunit ribosomal RNA", at positions 509 to 807 of the family's 1533-position model. The record is from RNAcentral.
CAGCAGCCACGGUAAUACAGAGGGUGCGAGCGUUAAUCGGAUUUACUGGGCGUAAAGCGUGCGUAGGCGGCUUCUUAAGUCGGAUGUGAAAUCCCUGAGCUUAACUUAGGAAUUGCAUUCGAUACUGGGAAGCUAGAGUAUGGGAGAGGAUGGUAGAAUUCCAGGUGUAGCGGUGAAAUGCGUAGAGAUCUGGAGGAAUACCGAUGGCGAAGGCAGCCAUCUGGCCUAAUACUGACGCUUAGGUACGAAAGCAUGGGGAGCAAACAGGAUUAGAUACCCCAGUAGUCCCUGUCUCUUAUAC